Molecule: unclassified non-coding RNA, 352 nt
Filed under: Hevea brasiliensis (rubber tree)
Lineage: Eukaryota; Viridiplantae; Streptophyta; Magnoliopsida; Malpighiales; Euphorbiaceae
Source: RNAcentral
UUUUUCUCCAUAACAGCACGUGCGAACUCUUCAACGCUGCUAUUUAAACUCACAUCGACGCUCAUGAGGAGGUGUUUGUUCUCUGAAGGAGGAUUCGUAGAGGAAGCGAGCUCGGUUUGGAAGGCAUUAAGCUUGUCCUGAGAACGAGCACAGCCGAUGAUGUAGUGUCCUCUCUUUGCCAAUUCUAGGGCUAGGGCUUUUCCCAACCCUCGGCUCACGCCGGUGAUUAACAACGUCCGUAUCGCUCCUCCGGCUGAUCGCAUACUCGGAUUUCCUGUGGCGUGAAUCCGACUUCUCUGGCGAAAUCUCUGAGAUUGAGGAAACCAAAUGGAAGUGAAUUUCCCAAGAGGAA